GCCAGACUCCUACGGGAGGCAGCAGUGGGGAAUAUUGGGCAAUGGGCGCAAGCCUGACCCAGCAACGCCGCGUGAAGGAAGAAGGCUUUCGGGUUGUAAACUUCUUUUAAGAGGGAAGAGAAGAAGACGGUACCUCUUGAAUAAGCCACGGCUAACUACGUGCCAGCAGCCGCGGUAAUACGUAGGUGGCAAGCGUUGUCCGGAUUUACUGGGUGUAAAGGGCGUGCAGCCGGGCUGACAAGUCAGAUGUGAAAUCCCGCGGCUCAACCGCGGAACUGCAUUUGAAACUGUCAGUCUUGAGUACCGGAGAGGUCAUCGGAAUUCCUUGUGUAGCGGUGAAAUGCGUAGAUAUAAGGAGGAACACCAGUGGCGAAGGCGACUUUCUGGACUGUACCUGACGCUGAGGCGCGAAAGCGUGGGGAGCGAACGGGAUUAGAUACCCCGGUAGAA
RNAcentral lists this ribosomal RNA (450 nucleotides) under uncultured bacterium. Its description in RNAcentral is "bacterial SSU rRNA". It matches the Rfam family "Bacterial small subunit ribosomal RNA", at positions 330 to 795 of the family's 1533-position model. The record is from RNAcentral.